GAUGAACGCUGACAGAAUGCUUAACACAUGCAAGUCGAUGGGGAAGUGGUGCUUGCACCAUGGUAACCAUGGCGGACGGGUGAGUAACGCGUAAGGAACUUGCCUGCGGGACUGGGAUAACAGCAGGAAACUGCUGAUAAUACCGGAUAAGGUCAUUAAGCUGCAUAGCUUAGUGAUGAAAGGAGACGCCUGCGGAGAGCCUUGCGUCCUAUUAGCUAGUUGGAGAGGUAACGGCCCACCAAGGCGAAGAUAGGUAGCCGGCCUGAGAGGGUGGACGGCCACAAGGGGACUGAGAUACGGCCCUUACUCCUACGGGAGGCAGCAGUGGGGAAUAUUGGACAAUGGGGGCAACCCUGAUCCAGCAAUUCUGUGUGCACGAAGACGGUUUUCGGAUUGUAAAGUGCUUUCAGCAGGGAAGAAGGAAGUGACGGUACCUGCAGAAGAAGCGACGGCUAAAUACGUG
RNAcentral lists this ribosomal RNA (463 nucleotides) under uncultured bacterium. RNAcentral's name for it is "partial 16S ribosomal RNA". It matches the Rfam family "Bacterial small subunit ribosomal RNA", at positions 28 to 507 of the family's 1533-position model. The record is from RNAcentral.